CCAGGCCAGGCAGGUGCCAGCUGCCAAGCCAGCCAAUAAUAAAAUCGUAAAAACAAACCUAAAUAUUAUUUUCGCUCGAAAAUGGUGAGAAAAAAGAUAAUGUAUAACCCAGAUACGAAAAUGUGAUAUACCGGCAACACAGUGACCGGGCGAUGUAGGAGCCUGAUCUCCUGGAAGUGCGUGGAGUAAUGCAGGUCGAUGUUGAGAGGCGGCAGCUCAGCGCCGCGCCGCGCGUGCCGCGUCCACGCCGCGGCGCCGCUCAGGUGCGCGUGCAGCUGGCUGCCGAACACCACCACGCCCAGCUCGGGCAGACCCUGGCGUGACGACAAUAUUAAUAAGUUCUUUUCUAAAAACUGUCAACUCAGACACCAAAAGAAGGCCUCUCGAAGGGAAAAAUGUAGGGGAAAGGUUAAAUAUAAAUAGGAUAUUAGGACAAAUCACACAGAUUGAGCUAGCCCCAAAGAUUGUUGUAGUGGACUUCCAGCAUGACGAACUUGUUCUUGUCAGGUCCGCCGAGCGGCAGCCCCGCCUCCUCCGGGUACGUGAACGGUGGCGCCCCCAUCGCCCACGCUGACUUCACCUUAAACAGUUUACAAAAUAUAUAGAGUCUAUCAAAGUUACCUCAUGAAGAGUAGUCGCUUUUGUCCGCGGAUACUAUGUGCGUCCGCUUUUAAAAUAUUUUUGUCAAUGUUUCGAGUUCUAAGCAUAGUAUCGCGAUGAUAACUAUUCCAGAUUUGCUGAACACAUUAAUCAACCAAAAUAAAAAGACACUGAUGACAAGUAAAUUUAAUAUAAACCCGGGCAAUCUUUAAAUUCCUUUCCUUACAUAAUUAUUCCUAUAAUUAAGUCGAUACUUUCUUUUCUCUUUUACAUUAUGAUCCAUACAAAACGGAGGUACUAAUCCUUACCUUUGAACAAGUCUUGGUGAUUUCUGGCCUUUCUGGGGCGAAGCAGUUCCCUUCAUACAACGGGAUUUCCUUCUUUGGAUCUGUGUCGCAGUAAAACAGCUCCAUGUGAUGCACUAACCCCUCGUUCCCUCUUGUGAUCGUUGAUUGGAACUGUAGUGUCAUCGCUGGGCACUUUCAAGUUUUUGUUCGUGAAGCGCAGUUCGUGACCUUCGGCUUUCCUGCGGCCGGGCGGCGUCAGCAGGCGGACCCUGAUGAAGCCAUGGUUCUGUGGCGUUGUGCACGUCAAGCAGAGCCCUUGAGAUGAGAAUAGCUUGUCGUCACCACGCGCCCAUACUACGUGGACUGUACCGUCCUGAAAUAUUGGAUAUUUUAUCAGUAUAAAGUUUGUUUAGUAGCUACAACAUGUCCCACUUCUGGGCAAAAGCCUCUCCACGCAUCCCUGUCUCCAGAGACAUACAUCUACCUCUUACAUCAUCUUUUACAUCCAUCUCUUGUCGAAAUCUUUAAGUUCAUCCGAACAUCUAGUCCUAAAUCAUAAUAUUAAAUACUUAGUAUUAUCGUGAUGCAGUUUAUACAGGGUACUGUAGCAAAAGAUCAGGCUAAUUGUGGGCAAAUAACACGACACGCCCAGAGGUCAGGCGUUUAUAGAUUUCGGUAAGUGCUUACCAUCAGGUGGCCUGCAUGUCUACACUUGCUUAUAUCACAGAUUAUGUAAUAGAUUUUGUGAAUUAGGUACGCUAAAAUGCCAAAUACUCAGUUGGAAAUGAUUUAUAUGUUGUGUUCUAAAAUAUUACGUGGUUUGUUUUAGUUAUUUAUGUCAUAGAUGCCGACAUACCAAAUUAAAUCUCGUAUUCUUAAU
Long non-coding RNA from Plodia interpunctella (Indianmeal moth), 1767 nucleotides. RefSeq lists it as uncharacterized. The transcript has 4 exons. Lineage: Eukaryota; Metazoa; Arthropoda; Insecta; Lepidoptera; Pyralidae. The record is from RefSeq and is a predicted model, not a curated record.